UGAGGUAGUCGGUUGUAUUGUU
This 22-nucleotide microRNA is filed under the name Gallus gallus (chicken). RNAcentral's name for it is "gga-let-7l-5p". Its record names the gene gga-let-7l-5p. Lineage: Eukaryota; Metazoa; Chordata; Aves; Galliformes; Phasianidae. The record is from miRBase by way of RNAcentral.